RNAcentral lists this unclassified non-coding RNA (311 nucleotides) under air metagenome. RNAcentral describes it as "partial contains small subunit ribosomal RNA, internal transcribed spacer 1, and 5.8S ribosomal RNA". The stretch from base 1 to 46 matches the Rfam family "Eukaryotic small subunit ribosomal RNA", at positions 1786 to 1831 of the family's 1831-position model. The record is from RNAcentral.
AAGUCGUAACAAGGUUUCCGUAGGUGAACCUGCGGAAGGAUCAUUAUUGAAUACGAUUGGUUCUGAUGCUGGCUCUUUACUGAGCAUGUGCUCGUCCAUUCUAUUUAUCUUCUCUUGUGCACAUUUUGUGACUUUGGAUCGAUACUCUAUCGUCUUCGGGCGGAUUGGGGGUUGAGGUUUACCACUUCCCCUGUUAUCAUUCAAAGUCAUGUUUUCAUAUACCCUAUAAAGUUACAGAAUGUCUAUUAAUGAUUGCGCUUGUCGUAGUCUUUAAACCUAUACAACUUUUAGCAACGGAUCUCUUGGCUCUC